This 480-nucleotide ribosomal RNA is filed under the name uncultured bacterium. RNAcentral describes it as "bacterial SSU rRNA". It matches the Rfam family "Bacterial small subunit ribosomal RNA", at positions 28 to 507 of the family's 1533-position model. The record is from RNAcentral.
GAUGAACGCUGGCGGCGCGCUUAACACAUGCAAGUCGAACGAGAAGUUAACUUUAGAUUCUUCGGAUGAAAAAGUUGACGGAAAGUGGCGGACGGGUGAGUAACGCGUGGGUAACCUACCCUGUACAGGGGGAUAACAGUCUGAAAAGGCUGCUAAUACCGCAUAAGACCACAGCAUCGCAUGGUGCAGGGGUAAAAAUUCCGGUGGUACAGGAUGGACCCGCGUCUGAUUAGCUAGUAGGUAAGGUAACGGCUUACCUAGGCGACGAUCAGUAGCCGGCCUGAGAGGGUGAACGGCCACAUUGGAACUGAGACACGGUCCAAACUCCUACGGGAGGCAGCAGUGGGGAAUAUUGCACAAUGGGGGAAACCCUGAUGCAGCGACGCCGCGUGAAGGAAGAAGGUUUUCGGAUCGUAAACUUCUAUCAGCAGGGAAGAAUAAAUGACAGUACCUGACUAAGAAGCCCCGGCUAACUACGUG